Molecule: ribosomal RNA, 393 nt
Filed under: uncultured bacterium
Lineage: Bacteria
Description: partial 16S ribosomal RNA
Rfam family: Bacterial small subunit ribosomal RNA
Source: RNAcentral
AUACGGAAGGUCCGGGCGUUAUCCGGAUUUAUUGGGUUUAAAGGGAGCGCAGGCGGAGAUGCAAGCGUGACGUCAAAUUUCGGGGCUCAACCCCGUCUCGCGUCGCGAACUGCGUCCCUUGGUUGCGGGAAGGGGAGGCGGAACUCGUGGUGUAGCGGUGACAUGCAUAGAUAUCACGAAGAACUCCGAUCGCGAAGGCAGCCUUCCGGCCCGUCAACGACGCUCAUGCUCGAAGGUGCGGGUAUCAAACAGGAUUAGAUACCCUGGUAGUCCGCACAGUAAACGAUGGACACCCGCGGUUUGGCCUGUAUGGCUGAGCCGCCAAGCGAAAGCGUUAAGUGUCCCACCUGGGGAGUACGCCGGCAACGGUGAAACUCAAAUGAAUCGACGGGG